RNAcentral lists this transfer RNA (71 nucleotides) under Takifugu flavidus (sansaifugu). It matches the Rfam family "tRNA". Rfam says of the family: Transfer RNA (tRNA) molecules are approximately 80 nucleotides in length. Their secondary structure includes four short double-helical elements and three loops (D, anti-codon, and T loops). RNAcentral also lists the same sequence under 1 other name. The record is from Rfam by way of RNAcentral. Lineage: Eukaryota; Metazoa; Chordata; Actinopteri; Tetraodontiformes; Tetraodontidae.
UCCCUGGUGGUCCAGUGGUUAGGAUACGGCACUCGCACUGCCGUGGCCUGUGUCCAAUUCCAGUCAGGGAA